UACGUAGGGUGCAAGCGUUAAUCGGAAUUACUGGGCGUAAAGCGUGCGCAGGCGGCUUUGCAAGACAGAUGUGAAAUCCCCGGGCUCAACCUGGGAACUGCAUUUGUGACUGCAUGGCUAGAGUACGGUAGAGGGGGAUGGAAUUCCGCGUGUAGCAGUGAAAUGCGUAGAUAUGCGGAGGAACACCGAUGGCGAAGGCAAUCCCCUGGACCUGGUACUGACGCUCAUGCACGAAAGCGUGGGGAGCAAACAGG
This 254-nucleotide ribosomal RNA is filed under the name uncultured bacterium. RNAcentral describes it as "partial 16S ribosomal RNA". It matches the Rfam family "Bacterial small subunit ribosomal RNA", at positions 524 to 776 of the family's 1533-position model. The record is from RNAcentral.